Molecule: ribosomal RNA, 301 nt
Filed under: uncultured bacterium
Lineage: Bacteria
Description: partial 16S ribosomal RNA
Rfam family: Bacterial small subunit ribosomal RNA
Source: RNAcentral
CAGCCGCCGCGGUAAGACGAACCGUGCGAACGUUAUUCGGAAUCACUGGGCUUAAAGCGCGUGUAGGCGGAUGGGAGCGUCGGCCUCUGAAAUCCCCCGGCUCAACCGGGGAAGUGGAGCCGAAACGACCCGUCUGGAGGGACGUAGGGGGACCUGGAACUUCCGGUGGAGCGGUGAAAUGCGUUGAGAUCGGAAGGAACGCCCGUGGCGAAAGCGGGGUCCUGGACGUCUGCUGACGCUGAGACGCGAAAGCCAGGGGAGCGAACGGGAUUAGAUACCCCUGUAGUCCCUGUCUCUUAUA